GUGGUUUCACGUGCUGUUUCUUUGUGCCUUACCCGAAUGCAUUACGAAUGUUUUCCAAUAAUGAUGUGACUUCAUUCUUUGCAGUAAACGUAAAGUGAUCACUCACUGCAGUUUUCAAACAGAACCGAGAAUUAUUAUUAAUUGGGUUUUUUUUGUCAGUAAGUUUCAACCGAUAAUUGUUUCAUAAUGUUUCAAACAUUAUUUUGAC
Non-coding RNA from Pelobates cultripes (western spadefoot toad), 208 nucleotides. The record is from the annotation of a GenBank genome assembly. NCBI's taxonomy places the organism in Eukaryota, Metazoa, Chordata, Amphibia, Anura, Pelobatidae.